Molecule: non-coding RNA, 2010 nt
Organism: Kogia breviceps (pygmy sperm whale)
Lineage: Eukaryota; Metazoa; Chordata; Mammalia; Artiodactyla; Physeteridae
Source: RefSeq, a predicted model, not a curated record
CUUGCGAGCCUCGCCCCCAACCCGGACUCGCGCCGCGCCCCAAACGGUCCGCUGCUCCGGGCCGGGUUACGAGGAGAUCCUGAAGGCUCCUCCCUGGGAAGGGGACCUCAAAGGCCAGGACACCUGAGCCUCGCCCCGACGCAAGUAGAGAUGCCUCUGCCGCAGUUCCAGGAAUGGAGGAAGAAUCUAGGGUGGCACCUAAAAAUGAAAUACGGACUGUAAACAGAUACGGAAAAGGCUGACUGCCUGCCGCUCAGGAGAUGAUGCUGGAGAGGAGGUGGAAUAAUCUUUAACCCCCUCAUUUUACAGAAGAAAAAACUUUGAGAAGAGCUGAGUCAGGCUGAUAAUGGGAAGAACCAGGUUUCCUGUCUGGACUCCAUGAUUGGUCCCUUUACACUUUACAGUGUUGGCAAAGAGAAGGCAUAACUGUGUUAAAACACGUUAAAAAAACUGUUCACAGAAAUAAAAGCAGACGAUGUAAUCUGGAGCACUUCCCACUUUCAUUUACUUAGGAUUCCUCUCCUCCUGACAUUUGGGGUGACUAACAGAGAAGAAACAGCAAUAAAAAAUAAAACAGAAGCAAGUUAUUUCCCUCUUCUGCUUUUCCUGUCACCUUUGUCUCCUUGGAAGAGCUUCUCAACUUCUAAUGUUUCAAACCCACCUUUGUAAGACUCUUCAGUGGUCACCCACCCACCUUCCAAAAAAAAAGGGGGGGGAGAAGCCAACUAAAACCAAAACCAAAGUGGGCCAUUUAUACAAAAUGUCCAGCCUAGGCAAAUCUACAGAGACAGAAUUACAUUAGUUCUGCGUGUUUACUCCUCUCACUCUUAGGGGAUCUGGGCCAUCUGGCCCUGCAGAUGUUUCCUGAAUCUCCAAAUGUGUCACCUCCAGGGUUGCCUGCCUCCUGCUCCUGCCACCCCUUCACAUUCUGCAAGGCUUCACGUAAUAGAAGGAAGCAUGCUAGUUCCCUUGACCACCUGCUCACCCCCUCCUCUGCCACCUCAUUUCUUGGCCACUCUGGAUGGAGCUGGGAUAAAGAAAGGAAGGACAGACAAGGCAGAAUAGAGAGCCUCAGAUGUUUGGAAGGAGCACAGUGCUACACUCAGAAGCCCUGGAAUCAACCCACGUGGACUUAGCUCCUGGCCAGCCUGUUACUAUGUGGCCUUAGGUGAGUUACUCAGGCAUUAGAGCCUCCGCUCUUCUCUCCGUGAAGAGGAGAUACUCACAGUAUUGAUGCCAUGGCCCUGGAGAGGCUGGAAGGCCAUGGGUGUGAAGCACGGGGCUUGGCUCAGAGGGAGCCUCAGUACAUGUGAACCAUUGUUGUUAUUCUAGAGCUUGGAAUUCAGAAUCAGAACCGGGCUGGGUUUCACUCACAAGAGCACAUGGAUACAGCUCGGUCCUAGAUGCAGCUUUAGCUGAAUCCUGAGCGCAGCCUCCAGGUUGAGGGGUCUGUGAAGUGCUCCUGGCUUUCAGGACUGAGUAAGCCUCUGCUCUCUCUUCUCUGGGGCUGCCUCUCCAUUCCUCUGGGGCUUGGGGGAGCAGGGGGUGCUGCUUCCAGCCAUGGGACUGGACUGAAACUCGGUAUUUAUUGCUUGUCUGGGGCACCUCCUUAUGGCAUCUAUUUCCUUAGUCAUCACCACGUGUCUGCUAUGUGCCAGGCACUGUAAUGGUUGCUAGGGCUGUGCAAAGAUAGAUCCAAUUUGGACCCCAUCCUCGAAGAUCUUACAGUUCAACCAGGAGGAUAAGACAUGUGUGACUGGGCCAUUUAUCAGUUGAUAAUUAUUUAUUGACUGCCUACCAUGUGCAAGAUGCUGUAUAAGACAUUGAUUCAGGCACGGCCAUAGAAAUCCAGGGGAGGGAGAAAUAAUGGUGGUUUAGUCAUAUUCAUCUAACCUAGUGCCUGACUUCCAGAAAAGCUGAUGAGACAGAUGGGGUUGGUUGGAUGUUUGGUUGUCAGGGAAGGUUUCACAGAAUAGGAGAACAAGCCGAGGACAUUGCUGAAUAGAAUCU